RNAcentral lists this ribosomal RNA (658 nucleotides) under Caryodaphnopsis tonkinensis. RNAcentral's name for it is "eukaryotic LSU rRNA". The stretch from base 287 to 442 matches the Rfam family "5.8S ribosomal RNA". Lineage: Eukaryota; Viridiplantae; Streptophyta; Magnoliopsida; Laurales; Lauraceae. The record is from RNAcentral.
AACCUGCGGAAGGAUCAUUGUCGAGCACCCGAACCACCGGCGAACCAGUAGCGCGAGCAGCAGCUCUGCCCGCCGGCGCGCGACCCCGCGGCCCGGAGCCCUGGCGGCGAGGGGCGCGGGCGCGCGUCGUGCGGAGCAGCAGAACACACCCCUCGGGCGCCGCGCGCGCCAAGGAAUCGAAGCGGAAAGGGCGGCGGCGGCGGCCCCGGCCGGUGCGCGCCCCUCCCGACGGGGGGGACGCCGCUCCGCCGCGCCCCGCCGCCCGUCUGUCAAUCAUCGUGUAGACGACUCUCGGCAACGGAUAUCUCGGCUCUCGCAUCGAUGAAGAACGUAGCGAAAUGCGAUACUUGGUGUGAAUUGCAGAAUCCCGUGAACCAUCGAGUCUUUGAACGCAAGUUGCGCCCGAGGCCACCCGGCCGAGGGCACGUCUGCCUGGGCGUCACGCCACCCAUCGCUCCCCCGCGCGGCCCCUGGCGGGCGGGAAGCGGAGACUGGCCGCCCGUGCCCGAGGGCUCGGCGCGCGGUUGGCCGAAAAGGAGGGCACCGUGCGGCGCGACACGGCGUGUGGUGGUUUGGAGGCGAAUCGUCGCCGGAAGGACGUUGCGGCCGCGCGCGGUGCCCCCACCGGGACCCAGCCUGCUCGGAUCGCGACCCCAGG